Molecule: long non-coding RNA, 428 nt
Filed under: Chinchilla lanigera (long-tailed chinchilla)
Lineage: Eukaryota; Metazoa; Chordata; Mammalia; Rodentia; Chinchillidae
Description: lncRNA (ENSCLAG00000028524.1)
Source: RNAcentral
AUGGAGCAGCCCUCUUCCCUUGUCACACGCAGUGUUUUCCAGCUCCCCACAGCGGACCCACACUCACUGAUCAUCAGAAAGCAGCGCUCAAGGACCGCCACGGCGCGGGAUCCGGGUUCCGGGCGCCACACGGACGAAGCAUCGCCGCCGUCCCCGGGUCAGCGAUUGGAACCGGCGCCGGCGGCUGGCAGGUUCACACUGGCGCGUCCGCAGCUCGGGAACUUCUGCAGACUAGCGGCGUGGGCGCGGCCGGCAGCGAUGCGCAUGCGCCAGGACGCCCUCCCACUCCCUGCCCUGCAAGGCCCCACCCACCGCGCGGGCUCCUCCCACCGUAAGGCUCCACCCACCGCUCGGGAUCCUCCCAUCCUACAGGCUCCUCCCACCGUAAGGCUCCACCCACCGCUCGGGAUCCUCCCAUAGUACAGGCU